UAGCGCUGAGAGACAGACAGAGAGCGAUGACGAACCUUCUCGCCGGCGUUAAUAACACUUGACGACCAUGUUUUCAUCAUUGUGGUGGCGGCGAACAUGGUUUUUACCGGAGAGUGACGAGGUAUGUUCGAUCAGUUGCUGCCACAGCUCUGACAAUGACGGCGGUCAAGCGGUUAGGGUUUCGAUCAACUUCCGUGUGACGUUGAUGAUGUUGUGACGGUGUGGCUGUUAGGGUUUGUUUGCCCUAAUAAGUCGUUCCCGAACCCUAGCUGGAGAUAAGAACUGAUGGUGGACCAAUGAAGAUUGAUAAGGUUUAGUUGGUAAGAGUGGGUCGAAAUGGAAGUUAUGAAGGAGUUCUUCGGUGGAAAUUGAUUCGGGUUGGAAAGGGUUUAAAGGGAAGUACAGGGGAGUGGGAUCGGAUGG
Long non-coding RNA from Helianthus annuus (common sunflower), 423 nucleotides. RefSeq lists it as uncharacterized. Lineage: Eukaryota; Viridiplantae; Streptophyta; Magnoliopsida; Asterales; Asteraceae. The transcript is spliced from 3 exons. The record is from RefSeq and is a predicted model, not a curated record.